Molecule: non-coding RNA, 3010 nt
Organism: Sus scrofa (pig)
Lineage: Eukaryota; Metazoa; Chordata; Mammalia; Artiodactyla; Suidae
Source: RefSeq, a predicted model, not a curated record
GAGGUGCGGUCCGCCCGGCUUGGCCUCCCCCCGGGAAUUGGAACCGCGUCCCUCUGGGCCCGGCCUGCCUGGCCCUGGUUCCUUCUGCGCGGACCAGCCAGAAGUGUUUGCGCUGGCACAGCACCGCUGCGGAAGGGAUGCCCUCAGGCAGCGCUCAGUCUAGUGCGGGAGACCCACCAAGGACUCUGUCAUUCAGUACGCUAAGGGCUCCUAAGAGGGUGGUACGGUCUCUGCUGAGCGCUUCUUAGGCGCCAAGCCUUGCCUUGAUAUACACUGUUUUUAAUCCCCACAGUCUGUUAGACAUGCGAAUUUGGGUAUUUCCCCAGGUUACAAGUGAUAUAUUGACGCUUAAGAGGUGAGGAUCAAGCCUGCAGUCUCUCUUCAAGCAAAGGAAGUCCUCCACAGCUUGGCUGCUUCUGAAGUCCAUGGGCCACUCUACCCCUCUAUAACAUAACACAGCUGCAUGGACUGCCUCAGGGUCCACGAGGGCCUCUGGGGAUUGCUCCCUUGGCCUGGUAAAUCGUCUCUUCCUGGCCUGGUCUUGGAAAUGUCUUGAAGAAGGUUCUGAAGAUUUCAAUUUGGUAACAGAGAAAUGAUACCAGCCCACAGCACCUGCUUCAUCACAUCACCUGUUGUGCUUCUGACAGUGUCUCUUCCCUGUCUGUCUCCUGUACUGAAACUGAGCUUAUUACCCUGCUGGCUUGAGCCUGGUUCUUUCCAAAUGUACAAAGAAUGUAAUCACAAAAUUUCUCUAGGGAAAUUCUUGUUCCCACGGUACUGAACCAUAGUUUCCAAACUGUGCAUUAAGGCACCUUAGGGUACCAAAGCAAAGCAAUAGGGAGCACAGUAGGAUAUUUAAACUUUGAGAGAUACUCAGCAUCUGUUGGCUACCAAGAGAACUACUAGCUCAAGGUGGAUCGGAGUUUCAUCAUUAGAUCGCACUACAUUCCUCUGGUUAUGGCAUCUUUGAGAAGCUGUCUUUUUAGUGGUUGCUGUGAUACGAAGAAAUGAAAAUCAAUGUGGAACAGGAAAUGAGGGUGGCAGUGUCCAAUCUGAUUAGAAAAGCUGAUAAGUUUUAUAGCGCUCAACAAGCACAAAGAUUCCAUUAGUUAUUGUGAUUAUUUAAGAAUGAACAAAAAGUUUCUUCUAACUUGUAUGUAUUAUUGUUUUUAAAUGACUUAAGUUGGUAGGACCUAGAUUCUUAAAGAGAUUUGGGCUUAACUAACAAACUGAAAUGUUAGGUAUUUCUUUUGGCUUGGGGGGUGUUCCACAAAAAACUACAAGACACUAAUGGUUCAGCGUGAGCUGAGAAAGUCUGGUCUAAGAAAUCCUCUAAACCAGGGCCAAUCAAGAAACUGCAGGUUGUGAAAUCAAUUUAGUGGGUUAUAAUCAACAUUUUUUCUCCUUAAUAAAAUAGAAUGGCAAAUAGAACACACUGAAUGUAGCAAGGGUAAAUACUGUAUAAAACUUAUGUUCAUUAUAUACAUACAAAUUAGCAUGGGUCUCAUGGAUCACAGUGUAAAAUGUAUAUUUCUUAUUUGGAUUCCAAUUUUGAAAGUUUGAAAAAGACACUAAGACUCCAACCUCCUUAUUUUAGAGAUGAGAAAACAGCCUAAAGAGUGAAAGCUGAUUACUGCAAAUCACAGUCACUGGAGCUGUGCUCUGCACUUGGCCCUGCCAGCCGGGGUGGCCACUAUCCACAGGACCCUCCUAGGCAGGCCUGCCUAUUCCACCCAGCAGAGGUGUGGUUAAUCAGUCACAGAGCCACAGAGGCAAGAGAGAUAUCCUCACUUUGAUCCCGAGACCCAUUUGCACCCCACAAAUGUCACCAGCCACACCUAGAACAAAAUGGUUUUAAUCAAUUGCGUCACCCUCACUCUUCUGGGAGCGGAGCAACAAAAAGGCUCGGCUCCUGCCCCCAGAGGACAGUAAGGCUUAUGUGUCUCUCCACACUGCAGGGCCCAGGCUGGGCUGGCAGAGGGCAGGAGGCAGGGAGAGAGGGUGGGAGGCAGGGAGAGAGGGAGUGGCAGGUGGCUCGAACAGAGGAAAGCAAAGGGGCCCCUGCUGGUCCUUGGGCCCCAGGGCCCAGCUCCAGUGCUCUCGCUCUCCCCUCCCGGCUGGAGAAAGGUCGUGGAGAAGAUACAGGGGAGCAAGUCCCAGCAGCAGGAGAAGCAGCAGCAGCUGUUUCCUUCACCAAUAAAUAUACUUCAUUACCAAGCUAGAAAGAGGGGUGGGGAGAGGGAUGGGGUAGGGAGGAAGGGGGAGAGGCUGCCACCUGUGUUGCUGGGAUUAAAGCAAUGACGAGCUGGGGCCAGACCCCCCACCACUAUCUCUGCCACCCCCUCACUCCUCAUCUUCUUAAAACUGUGAAAAAGCUUUUACACGGCCCUGCUGUCUCCAGGGCUUCUCUGAAGCCUGACUGAGAGGAGGCACCUGGCAGAGAAAGGGGGGGAGGGAGGAAGGGAGGGAAGGAGGCCGCUUCUCCCCAGAGGCUGCAGCUGGAGGGCUGGAACCAAGUGAGUGCUGAGGGGACUGGGGAGGGAGAGGGGAGGAAGGAUGAACCAACUACCAGGAGCAGCUCUGGAGUUGAGAGCCAAGGGGGCAAAGGGGGAGGCUUGGUGAAUGGUGGGGUGACUGCUGCAUCCAGUGUAAAGCUCACGCUGCUGAGGAGGGAGGGGGCUGAGUUAGGGACCUUCCCAUCGAGCGGCUCAGGAGACCCACCCCCCUUCCCCCAGAGCAGCAGGGGCCAGAGAAAAGCCAUCACUUCUUUGGUCUUUGUGGCGGCUCAGCAUGUGGGGUGGGAGGGAGGGCAGAGGGCCUGGAAGGCCCCUAGCAGGGAGUGCCACCUCAGCGAGUAGGCCUGGCUGGGAGCUCUGGCAGAAAGGUCACAGUGAGGCCGAAGAGCGCCCAAGGGAGGGUGGUCCUCCAGAGUCUGGGAGGGCUGGACAGAUAGGUGGGGUAUGGUGCGGUGCCCCACCCUCUGCCAGGGCCCUUGGGAAAGGUGGAGCCC